This 253-nucleotide ribosomal RNA is filed under the name uncultured bacterium. RNAcentral describes it as "partial 16S ribosomal RNA". It matches the Rfam family "Bacterial small subunit ribosomal RNA", at positions 524 to 776 of the family's 1533-position model. The record is from RNAcentral.
UACGGAGGGGGCUAGCGUUGUUCGGAAUUACUGGGCGUAAAGCGCACGUAGGCGGAUUCGUAAGUCAGGGGUGAAAUCCCGGGGCUCAACCUCGGAACUGCCUUUGAUACUGCGGGUCUUGAGUCCGAUAGAGGUGGGUGGAAUUCCUAGUGUAGAGGUGAAAUUCGUAGAUAUUAGGAAGAACACCGGUGGCGAAGGCGGCCCACUGGAUCGGUACUGACGCUGAGGUGCGAAAGCGUGGGGAGCAAACAGG